AUUGCCCUAGUAACGGCGAGUGAAGCGGCAACAGCUCAAAUUUGAAAUCUGGCUCUUUUAGAGUCCGAGUUGUAAUUUGCAGAGGGCGCUUUGGCUUUGGCAGCGGUCCAAGUUCCUUGGAACAGGACGUCACAGAGGGUGAGAAUCCCGUACGUGGUCGCUAGCUAUUGCCGUGUAAAGCCCCUUCGACGAGUCGAGUUGUUUGGGAAUGCAGCUCUAAAUGGGAGGUAAAUUUCUUCUAAAGCUAAAUACUGGCCAGAGACCGAUAGCGCACAAGUAGAGUGAUCGAAAGAUGAAAAGCACUUUGGAAAGAGAGUCAAACAGCACGUGAAAUUGUUGAAAGGGAAGCGCUUGCCGCCAGACUUGCUUGCAGUUGCUCACCCGGGCCCUUUUGCCCGGUGCACUCUUCUGCAGGCAGGCCAGCAUCAGUUUGGGCGGUGGGAUAAAGGUCUCUGUCACGUACCUCUCUUCGGGGAGGCCUUAUAGGGGAGACGACAUACCACCAGCCUGGACUGAGGUCCGCGCAUUUUUUGCUAGGAUGCUGGCGUAAUGGCUGUAAGCGGCCCGUCUUGAAACACGGACCAAGGAGUCUAACAUCUAUGCGAGUGUUUGGGUGUCAAGCCCGAACGCGUAAUGAAAGUGAACGGAGGUGGGAACCCGCAAGGGUGCACCAUCGACCGAUCCUGAUGUCUUCGGAAGGAUUUGAGUAAGAGCAUGGCUGUUGGGACCCGAAAGAUGGUGAACUAUGCUUGAAUAGGGUGAAGCCAGAGGAAACUCUGGUGGAGGCUCGCAGCGGUUCUGACGUGCAAAUCGAUCGUCAAAUUUGGGCAUAGGGGCGAAAGACUAAUCGAAUAUCUAGUA
Molecule: ribosomal RNA, 861 nt
Filed under: Pyrenophora dictyoides
Lineage: Eukaryota; Fungi; Ascomycota; Dothideomycetes; Pleosporales; Pleosporaceae
Description: partial large subunit ribosomal RNA
Rfam family: Eukaryotic large subunit ribosomal RNA
Source: RNAcentral